Molecule: ribosomal RNA, 253 nt
Filed under: uncultured bacterium
Lineage: Bacteria
Description: partial 16S ribosomal RNA
Rfam family: Bacterial small subunit ribosomal RNA
Source: RNAcentral
UACGGAGGAUCCGAGCGUUAUCCGGAUUUAUUGGGUUUAAAGGGAGCGUAGGCGGGUUGUUAAGUCAGUUGUGAAAGUUUGCGGCUCAACCGUAAAAUUGCAGUUGAUACUGGCAUCCUUGAGUACAGUAGAAGUAGGCGGAAUUCGUGGUGUAGCGGUGAAAUGCUUAGAUAUCACGAAGAACUCCGAUUGCGAAGGCAGCCUGCUGGACUGUAACUGACGCUGAUGCCCGAAAGUGUGGGUAUCAAACAGG